This 604-nucleotide ribosomal RNA is filed under the name Cautires sp. UPOL A00089. RNAcentral's name for it is "partial 16S ribosomal RNA". It matches the Rfam family "Bacterial large subunit ribosomal RNA", at positions 1816 to 2714 of the family's 2925-position model. Lineage: Eukaryota; Metazoa; Arthropoda; Insecta; Coleoptera; Lycidae. The record is from RNAcentral.
CAUGUCCUUUUGAUUUUAAUUUAAGGUCUGAUCUGCUCAAUGAAUUUUAAAUAGCCGCAGUAUUUUGACUGUGCAAAGGUAGCAUAAUAAUUAGUUUCUUAAUUAGGAACUGGAAUGAAUGAUUAGACAAGAUAAUUACUGUCUCUUUUUUAAAUUUAUUGAAUUUUAUUUUUAAGUGAAAAAGCUUAAAUUUUUAUAAAAGACGAGAAGACCCUAUAGAGUUUAAUAUUUAUUACAAAUAAAUAAUUAGAAAAAUAUUUUUGUGAUAUUUAUUUAAUUGGGGUGAUUGAAAGAUUAAUAAAAUUCUUUUAUUAAAAUAAUUGUUAGUUUACAAAUUUAAUAUCUAUUAUUAAUAAAUAUAAAAUAAAUUACCUUAGGGAUAACAGCGUAAUUUUUCUUUAAAGUUCUUAUUGUAAGGAAAGUUUGCGACCUCGAUGUUGGAUUAAAAUUAAUUUUUGGUGCAAUAACUUAAAAAUUAGGUCUGUUCGACCUUUAAAAUUUUACAUGAUCUGAGUUUAGACCGGCGUGAGCCAGGUUGGAUUCUAUCUUUAGAAAAUUAAACAUAUUUUAGUACGAAAGGACCAAAUAUGUGUUAAAUUAAUUG